ACAGGCUGGCAACGGAGCAGGUCAUGGAGCCGGCUACGGAGCAGGC
Molecule: non-coding RNA, 46 nt
Filed under: Oxyrrhis marina
Lineage: Eukaryota; Dinophyceae; Oxyrrhinales; Oxyrrhinaceae
Source: RNAcentral